GGGCGUGUGGCGUGUCGGUGCGCGCUCUCCCGUAGCAUGGGAGAGGUCUCCGGUUCGAUUCCGGACUCGUCCA
Molecule: transfer RNA, 73 nt
Filed under: Saccharomyces cerevisiae (brewer's yeast)
Lineage: Eukaryota; Fungi; Ascomycota; Saccharomycetes; Saccharomycetales; Saccharomycetaceae
Source: RNAcentral